Molecule: long non-coding RNA, 1077 nt
Filed under: Solanum tuberosum (potato)
Lineage: Eukaryota; Viridiplantae; Streptophyta; Magnoliopsida; Solanales; Solanaceae
Description: long non-coding RNA (STUB_LNC006709)
Source: RNAcentral
GGGGGUCGUUCUUCACUGAUAUACAGAGAGAUAUAAGAUUUACAAAGAAAUCGGUUUUCAGAUAGUCCAAAGCUUUAAGGUUUAAAUUUUUUCAUAAGGUUUUGUCCUUGAAGUCUUCAUCCAAGCUUUCCGGAAAAGCUCCUUUGGUGGUGGACGCUCGUUGUUUACCACUCGUCAUUCCAGUUCGCUGCCCAGAACCAGGUACAUUCUUUCUUAGCUUUGUUUGUGUUUAAUUCCCAGCUUGUCUGCUAUUUAUGUGUUCUUGGCUUUGUUUAGACUUUGGUUUGAUAAUUGAAUAGCUAAUAAUGUUUCUCCUGUGCUUACUGCUUUAUUGUUAUAGUCGUAAAUCUUCCUAACUUCUUUGGUGUUCUAUUCGUGUUGCCUGUCUGAAUUGGUCGUGAAGAUUAAUGUUCACCUUGGUUCUAGUCCUUACAUUUUCCCCUUUAAUGAUAAGCAUCCAAUUUUGUGUUUAUGCAUCUAAGAUGUUAAGCUUAUUAGUUUGAUUUCUCUGUUAAGAACUACUGUGUCCAACAUAUUCAUUUAUUUUCUAAUAUUUUCUUUUUUGGGCAUUAUACUGUACCCUUGCUCAUGUUUCUUUAUAGUUGAUAUUUGUUCAAGCUUAAAUUUGCUAACAACAUGUUUUAGUAUGGUUUUGAGUAUGUUUCAGUAAUUGUCACUUUUUUUUGAAAGAAAAAAUGAUGGUUCCUCAGUGUAUCCUAUUUUUAGUUUUUGUUUAUUUAGCUUAAAACUAAUCUUGUUCUUGAACUAUUACAUUUGUAAGCUUGAAUCUCUUGAACUCGUGGGCUGCUUAAGUUCUCUUUUUAUAUCCAUUUAAGCUCCAGCUUCAUAUUGCGCGUUUUAGUUUGAUUUUCUUCUCAUCUAGGUUAGGUAACUGCUGAUUUGUUGUUUUACGGUGAAACCUUGUUGGUGGUAUGAACUUAAGAUGCUUUCUGUCCAAAUGAUGAAUGUUAAAUAGGCUUGAGUCUAUUUAUGUGUUAGGAUUAGCUGUUGAUUCUCUCUGCGUAUUGAUCAUGGCUCGACAAUAUUUCUUAUCGUUAAAUUAGUUUGGGUUACCCA